ACCUACUUGACUCAGCGAUUAGAGUAUCGCUUUCAUACGGCAAAAGCCAUUGGUUCGAAUCUAAUAGUAGGUA
This 73-nucleotide transfer RNA is filed under the name Malus domestica (apple). RNAcentral describes it as "tRNA MD15G0236600". It matches the Rfam family "tRNA". Rfam says of the family: Transfer RNA (tRNA) molecules are approximately 80 nucleotides in length. Their secondary structure includes four short double-helical elements and three loops (D, anti-codon, and T loops). The record is from RNAcentral. Lineage: Eukaryota; Viridiplantae; Streptophyta; Magnoliopsida; Rosales; Rosaceae.